This 301-nucleotide ribosomal RNA is filed under the name uncultured bacterium. RNAcentral describes it as "partial 16S ribosomal RNA". It matches the Rfam family "Bacterial small subunit ribosomal RNA", at positions 509 to 808 of the family's 1533-position model. The record is from RNAcentral.
CAGUAGCCACGGGAAUACGUAGGUGGCAAGCGUUGUCCGGAAUUAUUGGGCGUAAAGCGCGCGCAGGCGGAUAGGUCAGUCUGUCUUAAAAGUUCGGGGCUUAACCCCGUGAUGGGAUGGAAACUGCUGAUCUAGAGUAUCGGAGAGGAAUGUGGAAUUCCUAGUGUAGCGGUGAAAUGCGUAGAUAUUAGGAAGAACACCAGUGGCGAAGGCGACUUUCUGGACGAAAACUGACGCUGAGGCGCGAAUGCGUGGGGAGCGAACAGGAUUAGAUACCCGCGUAGUCCCUGUCUCUUAUACA